RNAcentral lists this ribosomal RNA (565 nucleotides) under Junghuhnia subundata. RNAcentral's name for it is "partial small subunit ribosomal RNA". It matches the Rfam family "Bacterial small subunit ribosomal RNA", at positions 354 to 957 of the family's 1533-position model. The record is from RNAcentral. Lineage: Eukaryota; Fungi; Basidiomycota; Agaricomycetes; Polyporales; Steccherinaceae.
UCCAAGAAUAUUAGUCAAUGCUCGCAAGAGUGAACUAGCUAACUGAAAUCAUAGAAUUUCUUCAAAUUCAUGAUGUCGUAAGGGAAAAUAAUGAUAAUACCUUACUAAUAGUGUCGUCCAAAUCUGGUGCCAGAAGACUCGGUAAGACCAGAGACGCAAACGUUAAUCAUCUUAAACAGGCGUAAAGGGUUUGUAGGCGGUUUCCAUAAGAUUAUAAUUAAACAAAUAAAGUAGUCUAAUUGGAAACUAGAAUCAAAAAGAGGUCAUAGUGUAUAACGCUUAGAGGAGGGCUGAUAUCCUUAGAUCCUAAGCAGAAUACUAAGGGCGAAGGCCACUUUCCAUUAAUGAUUGACGCUGAGAAACGAAGGUUAGGGUAGGAAAUAGGAUUAGAUACCCCGGUACUCCUUUCUGUAAACGAUGAAUGGUAGUCAUUAGUUUAAAAAAAACUAGAGGCGAAGUUAACACGAUAACCAUUCCGCCUUGUGAGUACUACUGCAAAGUAGAAAACAAAAAAAUUAGUCGGUCUCGAAGCAAACGGAGUGAAGCAUGUUAUUUAAUUCGAUAA